GGUGUAGGCGGACUUAUAAGUCAGAUGUGAAAUCCCAGGGCUCAACCCUGGAAGUGCAUUUGAUACUGCAAGUCUUGAGUGUGGUAGAGGUUACUGGAAUUGUUGGUGUAGUGGUGAAAUACGUAGAUAUCAACAGGAAUACCGGAGGCGAAGGCGAGUAACUGGGCCAACACUGACGCUGAGACCCGAAAGCGUGGGGAUCAAACA
Molecule: ribosomal RNA, 207 nt
Filed under: uncultured delta proteobacterium
Lineage: Bacteria; Deltaproteobacteria
Description: partial 16S ribosomal RNA
Rfam family: Bacterial small subunit ribosomal RNA
Source: RNAcentral